Molecule: ribosomal RNA, 529 nt
Filed under: uncultured bacterium
Lineage: Bacteria
Description: bacterial SSU rRNA
Rfam family: Bacterial small subunit ribosomal RNA
Source: RNAcentral
AAUAGAUACCCUGGUAGUCCACGCCGUAAACGAUGAGUGCUAGGUGUUGGUGGGGACACCCAUCAGUGCCGCAGCUAACGCAUUAAGCACUCCGCCUGGGGAGUACGGUCGCAAGACUGAAACUCAAAGGAAUUGACGGGGACCCGCACAAGCAGCGGAGCAUGUGGUUUAAUUCGGCGCAACGCGAAGAACCUUACCAGGGCUUGACAUCCCUCUGACCGGAUUAGAGAUAGUCCUUUCUCUUCGGAGACAGAGGAGACAGGUGGUGCAUGGUUGUCGUCAGCUCGUGUCGUGAGAUGUUGGGUUAAGUCCCGCAACGAGCGCAACCCUUGCCUUUAGUUGCCAUCAGGUAAAGCUGGGCACUCUAGAGGGACUGCCGGUGACAAACCGGAGGAGGGUGGGGAUGACGUCAAAUCACCAUGCCCCUUAUGUCCUGGGCUACACACGUGCUACAAUGGUCGGUACAACGGGAAGCGAGACUGCGAAGUUUAGCCAAUCCCAAUAAGCCGAUCCCAGUUCGGAUUGUAGG